AGCGAACGCUGGCGGCAGGCCUAACACAUGCAAGUCGAACGAAGUCUUCGGACUUAGUGGCGGACGGGUGAGUAACACGUGGGAACGUGCCUUUAGGUUCGGAAUAACUCAGGGAAACUUGUGCUAAUACCGAAUGUGCCCUUCGGGGGAAAGAUUUAUCGCCUUUAGAGCGGCCCGCGUCUGAUUAGCUAGUUGGUGAGGUAAAGGCUCACCAAGGCGACGAUCAGUAGCUGGUCUGAGAGGAUGAUCAGCCACAUUGGGACUGAGACACGGCCCAAACUCCUACGGGAGGCAGCAGUGGGGAAUCUUGCGCAAUGGGCGAAAGCCUGACGCGGCCAUGCCGCGUGAAUGAUGAAGGUCUUAGGAUUGUAAAAUUCUUUCACCGGGGACGAUAAUGACGGUACCUGGAGAAGAAGCCCCGGCUAACUUCGUGCCAGCAGCCGCGGUAA
Molecule: ribosomal RNA, 449 nt
Filed under: uncultured bacterium
Lineage: Bacteria
Description: partial 16S ribosomal RNA
Rfam family: Bacterial small subunit ribosomal RNA
Source: RNAcentral